RNAcentral lists this ribosomal RNA (253 nucleotides) under uncultured bacterium. RNAcentral's name for it is "partial 16S ribosomal RNA". It matches the Rfam family "Bacterial small subunit ribosomal RNA", at positions 524 to 776 of the family's 1533-position model. The record is from RNAcentral.
UACGUAGGGUGCAAGCGUUAAUCGGAAUUACUGGGCGUAAAGCAUGCGCAGGCGGUUCUAUAAGACAGAUGUGAAAUCCCCGGGCUCAACCUGGGAACUGCAUUUGUGACUGUAGAGCUGGAGUACGGUAGAGGGGGAUGGAAUUCCGCGUGUAGCAGUGAAAUGCGUAGAUAUGCGGAGGAACACCGAUGGCGAAGGCAAUCCCCUGGACCUGUACUGACGCUCAUGCACGAAAGCGUGGGGAGCAAACAGG